UUUAACUUGAAGGAAAAUAGUCACGUUUUCAUGUAUAAAUUGAAAAUAUUUAAUUUUUUUUUUAAUUCACACCAAUAUCAAAAUGAAAAUGUUACUAUUAAUCUUUUUUACACUAAUUUAUUCAUUAUUUUUAACGUUAACAAUAGUUGACGCUGAAUCAUGUACUAACAAUAUGCAUUUAUGUGAAAAAGACAAUGAUUGUUGUUCAAAAAGAUGUUCCAUGUUUCGAACAUUUUGGAAGAGUUUAAGAUAUAUGUGUUAUUGAUCAUCAGUUAAUUAAAACAAAUUAGGCACCUUAGAAAACUUGGAUAACAUUUAACGAAUAUUCAUAUAUAAAACAAGUCAAAAUAACAAAAAAAAUAUGAUUCAUCAAAUAAAAAUUUUCUCCAUUCAUCUUAUAUUGUUUAUCCGAUAUUGUGACGAAGAAACUUUGUAUUAUAAAUAUUGCGUAUAUUAUUAUUUUAAAGAAUGUAAAAUUCAAUUUUUUUAUAAUUACUUAAUUGUAUAAGCUCAUGAUGUUUUAGUCAAAAUAUAAUAUAUUUAUAGAUUUGAA
Molecule: long non-coding RNA, 553 nt
Organism: Leptopilina boulardi
Lineage: Eukaryota; Metazoa; Arthropoda; Insecta; Hymenoptera; Figitidae
Exons: 2
Source: RefSeq, a predicted model, not a curated record